UGAAUGCGGCAUGGUAGGUGACUUAGUUGGCUUAAAAAGGUUAAGUGUAGGAAUUUUAAGGAGGAUUUUUUUGUUUUGAAUGUCGUUUGGUUGGAGAAUCAAUCACUUGAAAAUGGUUGUGUAGGAAGUUUAAAAAGGAUAUUUUUCUUUUGAAUAUAGCUUGGUAGGUGACUUAGUUGGUUGGAAACGGGUAAGUUUAGGGACAUUAAAGGAGAUUAUUUUGUUUUGAAUGUAGUUUG
RNAcentral lists this long non-coding RNA (239 nucleotides) under Capsicum annuum. RNAcentral's name for it is "long non-coding RNA (CANN_LNC009892)". Lineage: Eukaryota; Viridiplantae; Streptophyta; Magnoliopsida; Solanales; Solanaceae. The record is from RNAcentral.